RNAcentral lists this ribosomal RNA (508 nucleotides) under uncultured bacterium. RNAcentral's name for it is "bacterial SSU rRNA". It matches the Rfam family "Bacterial small subunit ribosomal RNA", at positions 17 to 518 of the family's 1533-position model. The record is from RNAcentral.
UUAUGGCUCAGGAUGAACGCUGGCGGCGUGCCUAAUACAUGCAAGUCGUACGAGGGAAGUCCAGCUUGCUGGACGGAACGAGUGGCGAACGGGUGAGUAAUACGUAAGCAACCUGCCUGCAAGGACUGGGAUAACACCUGGAAACGGGCGCUAAUACCGGAUAGGUAACGGAGGGGCAUCCUUCUGUUAUUAAAGGUUAAAAACACAAGCAGAUGGGCUUACGGUGCAUUAGCUGGUUGGUGAGGUAACGGCCCACCAAGGCGAUGAUGCAUAGCCGGCCUGAGAGGGUGAACGGCCACAUUGGGACUGAGACACGGCCCAGACUCCUACGGGAGGCAGCAGUAGGGAAUUUUCGGCAAUGGACGCAAGUCUGACCGAGCAACGCCGCGUGAGUGAAGGAGGUUUUCGGAUUGUAAAGCUCUGUUGUAAGGGAAGAACAGCACGGAGAGAAUCCGUGAAUGACGGUACCUUACCAGAAAGCCACGGCUAACUACGUGCCAGCCGCUGC